Molecule: ribosomal RNA, 253 nt
Filed under: uncultured bacterium
Lineage: Bacteria
Description: partial 16S ribosomal RNA
Rfam family: Bacterial small subunit ribosomal RNA
Source: RNAcentral
UACGGAGACUGCGAGCGUUGCCCGGAAUUACUGGGCGUAAAGAGCGCGUAGGCGGCCUGUUAAGUCAGGUGUGAAAACUUAAGGCUUAACCUUAAGAUUGCACUUGAAACUGGUAGGCUUGAGGUCAGGAGAGGAAAGCGGAAUUCCUAGUGUAGCAGUGAAAUGCGUAGAUAUUAGGAGGAACACCAGUGGCGAAGGCGGCUUUCUGGACUGAUACUGACGCUGAGGUGCGAAAGCCAGGGGAGCAAACGGG